UACGUAGGAGGCAAGCGUUGUCCGGAAUUACUGGGCGUAAAGCGCGUGUAGGUGGUGGGACAAGUCUGCUGUGAAAGCGCCUGGCUUAACCGGGCGAGGUCGGCGGAAACUGUCCGACUCGAGGACGGUAGAGGGGGGUGGAAUUCCCGGUGUAGUGGUGAAAUGCGUAGAGAUCGGGAGGAACACCUGUGGCGAAGGCGGCGACCUGGUCCUUGACUGACGCUGAGGCGCGAAAGCGUGGGGAGCAAACAGG
RNAcentral lists this ribosomal RNA (253 nucleotides) under uncultured bacterium. Its description in RNAcentral is "partial 16S ribosomal RNA". It matches the Rfam family "Bacterial small subunit ribosomal RNA", at positions 524 to 776 of the family's 1533-position model. The record is from RNAcentral.